CUGGUGACGUGCUUUUUCGCGUAUGCUUACAGGGCUUUCGAAAAGGCCAAGGGACCCGUGGACGCAUUCGGAACUGUAAAGAAGCAGUGGGAAGGCUUUGAGAUGGAUGUCCUGAAGGUCAGGAAAUACCAAAUUCUGCGCAGCUGUCCCCACGACACAAAAAAGAACGAGGUGAGGGUAUACCAGUCACGAAAGAUACUCUUAAAUACAACAAGUACCGACGUCCCGUCCAGUAUCUCGAACAACCGAUCCGCUUUUCUGGCAUACUCUCCUGCUGGCGACGUAAAUGGUUCCGCUGUCUACGUCAACUAUGCGGAGAAAUCUGACUUCAAACUUUUGAGCAUUUACAACAUUACCGUUGCUGGACGCAUAUGUUUGAUCCGAGUCGGGAAGAUCACCAAGGGUGAGCAG
Molecule: long non-coding RNA, 411 nt
Organism: Dermacentor silvarum
Lineage: Eukaryota; Metazoa; Arthropoda; Arachnida; Ixodida; Ixodidae
Exons: 3
Source: RefSeq, a predicted model, not a curated record